This is an RNA transcript of Numida meleagris (helmeted guineafowl), 9855 nucleotides long. It is a transcript of the gene named SDS3 homolog, SIN3A corepressor complex component, with no coding region annotated. The record is from RefSeq and is a predicted model, not a curated record. The transcript is spliced from 25 exons. NCBI's taxonomy places the organism in Eukaryota, Metazoa, Chordata, Aves, Galliformes, Numididae.
CCGGCGGAGCCGCGUCCUGCGCUGUCCCGUCUUGCCGCGAUGAGCGCGGCCGGGCUGGUGUCCGCUACGCCGCCCGCCCCCGCCCCGCCCGGGGCACCCGCCCCCGCCAUGCCCCCCGGCCCCGAGUACUACGAGGAGGAGGAGCUGGAGAGCGCCGAGGAAGAGGAUGGCGAGCGGAGCGCUCGGGCCCGAGACUCCGACGAGGAUACUGAAGAUGCUAGCGAGACUGAUCUGGCAAAACAUGAGGAGGAAGACUUUGUAGAGAUGAAAGAACAGAUGUAUCAGGACAAACUGGCAUCUCUUAAGAGGCAGCUGCAGCAGUUGCAGGAAGGUACUCUUCAGGAAUAUCAGAAAAGAAUGAAGAAGUUGGACCAGCAGUACAAAGAAAGGAUACGAAAUGCUGAACUGUUCCUCCAGCUGGAAACAGAUCAGGUGGAAAAAAAUUAUGUCAAGGAAAAGAAGGCAGCAGCAAAGGAGUUUGAAGAUAAGAAAAUUGAGCUUAAGGAAAAUUUGAUUGCAGAGUUGGAAGAGAAAAAGAAGAUGAUUGAGAAUGAGAAGUUAACCAUGGAAUUAACAGGAGACUCUAUGGAAGUGAAGCCUAUCAUGACGAGGAAACUGAGGCGACGACCAAAUGAUCCAGUCCCCAUCCCAGACAAGAGGAGGAAACCUGCCCCUGCUCAGCUAAAUUACUUGUUGACGGAUGAGCAAAUAAUGGAGGACCUGAGAACCCUAAAUAAGCUUAAAUCACCCAAGAGACCAGCCUCUCCCUCCUCCCCUGAGCACCUCCCAGCGACGCCAGCGGAGUCUCCAGCGCAGCGGUUUGAGGCCCGGAUAGAAGAUGGCAAACUCUACUAUGAUAAAAGAUGGUAUCACAAGAGCCAGGCCAUUUACCUGGAGUCUAAAGAGAACACUAAGAUCAGCUGUGUCAUCAGUUCUGUGGGCGCCAACGAGAUCUGGGUGAGGAAAACCAGUGACAGCACAAAGAUGAGAAUCUACCUGGGGCAGCUGCAGCGAGGUGUUUUUGUGAUCCGUCGGCGAUCGGCUGCAUGACUGUAUGCUCUUCCUUGGUCCUUUUUUUUUUUUUUCUUCUUCUUCUUGUUUUUUAUUAAAACCAAUAGAGAAACCUCUAAUGGGGAAUGGCAGUCUGUUCACUCUCAUCUUAGAAGCAGACAACGCUGUCAUAACCUCUUACGAGACAGUUUGUGGCUGGCCACAUUAUCCCCAGUAGUCCUAAAAUCUUGGUGAUACACAAACACUGCCCUGGACUAUUUCUGGACUUUGCAUCAGGCUGCUGUAUGCCUUUUUUUUUUAUAUUUUGGAUGACUAUUUAAGAAGAUUUGCAUCAUACGUUUCUUCAUCGUUGUUCCAUGGUGCGCAGGUUGGACUUGUAUGUUGAAAGCAGCGUAACUUUUGCGUUUUGAAUCAGACCAACAGAAGAAACUUUGCUUGUCAAGACCCGGGGUCGUUCUUUUUGGCUUUCUUUCCUUGCAAGGCUCAGGAUGUCGGGCAAAAGGAGAUGAAUCCUGCCAACUUUCAGCUGCAGCUGAGGAAUGCAUCUGUAAUGUCUGGUACACAUCAGCUUUACUGGAUGAACUGCUUAAGGACUCGAGUGCUGAAGCUUGUUUGGGAAAGUCUGAUUAGUUUAGCAAGUGCUGAAAAUGGAGUUGAUUUUAAUAUAGCUAAGCAGUCACACGUGGCUAAUCUGAAGCAUCCAUUUCUCUUCACAUUAAAAAACCCUUCGACAAACAAGCAAGGAGUAUCUCUUAUACCUAGAUUUCCUGGAAUAGGCAGAUGAGGAUAAACCAAAGGAUUGGUUAACUGGACUUUGCACAUACAAAGACUACAAGUGUGGUACAGACUGGAAAGCUGCCUUAACAAAACCAUCUUUCCCCCAAGCAUCAUAGGUUUCCCUUUGAAGGGUGUUUUAAUUACUGGAGAUAAUGCUGGAUUUCUACACGUACUUACCCUCCAAAAACACAAGAGGUCUCGGUCUGCAGCUCGUUCAGGUUAACCUGCGUGUUUCGUCUCCUCACCCCACGUACUUCGCUCGCCGUGCUGCCGUCCGCUCUCAUUUCCAAUUUCACACCGACAUGCUCUUGACGUAUUUAUAAACGAGUUCUUAUGUCAAUCCACUAGAAAACAACCACAUACAUCCCAGUGAGAUAUUUCUCUACUCUGUCUCCUGUUGCUGUGGCAAUCUUGAUUGCUACUGAGCAAAAAGGGUGGCAGACGCUCGUGUCAGCGCCGGAACAUCCUGCUUCCUGCAUGGUCAGUGCUGUGAAGUGCAUCCAGAGCCUGCUGCUGUCUGUCUUGGCAGUGAUUUUAACCACACCAUAUUUUUGAUGGGCAAAUCUCAAAGGCUUCUGCAGAGAGAAGUAAGUGAGAACAUACGUGCUUACUCAGCCGGGGAAGCUGAGGCACAGGAGUGCAGUGAUGACACGAGGAGGAGAGCGGUCCCCUUCAGCUCCCUUAGCUGAGCUUUCCUCGGGGUGUUAGGGCAGCCACAUCAGAACUUCAUCCAUGCCUCUCAGCGUGUCAUCUCCAGGCUUACCCUCUUCUCUUUCCAGCUGAGAAGGCUGAGGCUCAGCCUGGAACAGGAGACCGGAUGGUUUCUGUGUAAUUAGUUACUACUAAUCAGCUGGCCUCUAGUAGUGGGCUAUACGAAGUUAAUUGUCUGUCCAUAGUAAAAUGGCAUGAACCAUGAGAAAAGAGCAUUUUUUCCUUUGCAGUAGGUGGGGGGGGAAUGAGAAUGGUCUGUUAAUGUGAUCAGCUGACAGAUGGUAACUCGCAGGGGAUAAUUAACUGUUUGCUCGUACAGGAUGUUGAGUGUGUAACAACGCUGUCAGUAGAGACGGCAACAGAAGAAGAGGAUUUGGUGCGGCACAGCUCGGAGAGGACCAGAGCCCGCUGCAAGGUGACACUAAAAAGGAGGAUCUCUCCCUCCAGUCUGGAACUAACGAGGUAGAGACAAUUAAAUCCAUCUUGCUGAGGGCUGGCAGCUUUCUGCCUCCUGCCUGUGGCUUGCCGUGGCAUCGUGGAGCUGAAGGAAAGGAAAAGCUGCCUGACGGCUGGGGGCUCUGAGGUGCUGGGAAGGUUUUCUGCCUCCAUCCUGGGGAGAAGGGGAAUACAUUAGAAAAAAAUUAUAGGAUGUAUAAGUCCGGUCUGUUGAGAGCGUUGUAGUAAGGAGCAUGUCCCCUGACCGACUUUUAUCCCUAGGAGAGAAUGAGCUGCAGUGAGUGAGCAGCAGCAGAGUGACAUGACUUUGGUGGCCUGUGUCACCAAGGCAGCAAGUGUGCUCCCUGGGUCUGUCCUGCCUGCAGGGCUGUCUGCUAUUUUAAGAGAAGAAGACAUGGAAAUGAUGUUGUUUGCAGGCAGCUCUUGUUCUUCCUGCUGCAACAAGCUCUGGGAGCCAGGGUGGAGGGAAAGCAACCUCUGUGUCUUUUUGUGAUGCCUCUCUCUCUCCAUAUAUUCUCAAAAUCCUUGUUUCUAAAGACAGCUGUCCCAGCAGUGAGGGUUAAGCACAAGUGCAUGUGGUGCUGGCAGGAUAAGGAGGAUGAUCAAUGAGUUGGAAACCCCUCCCUUCCUCUGGAUUUUGAGGACUCUGUGUACAAUUUAAAGGAAGGGGGGAAGGCGUCUGUACUGAAGAUUUGUCAAACAUGUUCCUGGCAGAUAAGUUGGUUUUAUCGAGUGGCUUGACGUGUAAUUCCAUGCAGUGCAUAGAUGUUCAUCCGAUGUUUACUCAGAGGAAGAGAUUUCCUACCCCUUCUAAAAAUUAAACUUUGUGUAAUGGUGCAUUUGCUCAGGGAAAAUGAAUGUGAAGAUGCUGUCAAAGUGUCAGGUCUGUCUGGAACAAGGGUCCUGCAGAAGACAAGUGGCAUUAGUGUGUUCAGAGAUGUUUCAUAUAAAAUACUGAAGUGCUCAUUCUUUUGGGAGCCGUGUUAAUUGAACUAAAAGAGGCGCAGUGCCCGGGAGGGAGAUGCUGUUCACACCUGGAAAGGCAGAAGUGCUUGCAGAAGGAGUCAGAAUAGGUUAUUUCUGCUUCAAAAUGAUGUCAGAAGGAGGUGAGUAAUUGUUCUGAAAUUACAGUUUUCCACUUGAAUCAUUUUACCGAAGUCCAGGUAUACAAGGGCUGCUCUGAAAGUAAUGCCUCCUAUUUUACGAUGUCAGCCCACGCCAUCAGAGGCGGAUGCUGGUGGGAUGGCAGUAGAGGCUGAACCUUCCCACCAAUGUCCCAUUACAUUUGGUCACUGUGUGACCGAUGGCAGCAGAGGGGCAGCCUGAUAGAAUGGUGGCUGACAUGGAAGUGUGGAUGAAGCAAAACUAUGUUAUUCUCCAUGUGAAAAAAAAAAAUGGCACCUGUUGACAUUCAUUGAUACUCGCUGAGCAUCUAUAGGGACCAAGUAGUGGAUGUUGGCACAGUGAAAGCUGGACUGCGUGGGCAACGUUUUCCUAGCAACUAUGCCAUCGUAGCAGCUGCGACAGACCACAGGCUUGAAGAGUAAUUAAAACACAUCACACUCUCACGGCUUCCAUGGAGCUGCAAGUCUGCACGCUCCUCUCUUCUCUCAGAAAAACUCGUGCUGAGAAAGUGCCUCCUUAGCCAACCUGGACGUGUGGUUCCUUGGCACCAGGUGGUUUCUCCUCAUGGGGUCAGCUGGGCUGCUGCUGGCUGAACAGAGUUCCCCUUUUUGGUACUGAAAUAACAUGCCAGCUAACACCGUCUCUCUUCUGAAGGCUUCGAGGCUUUUACAACAGUGGAAUAAUUAUUCUGCGUAUGGGGAAAUGGAGGCAGGGUGACCGUGGCUGCUGCAGCUCACAUCCAGAAGUGCUGGCAGAAGCUUGCUGUUUGCCUCAGCUUUCAAAGAAGCAAACCAAUCUACAUCUGAUGAGCACCCUUCCUUCACAGAAACCCACUGAUUUCGUAAACCCUGUCACUGACUCUUGUAACAACUGGCUGGAAGGGCGAGUCAGUAUCGCUCACGUUGAGGUUUGGCCUUGUAAAUACAGAUAGCCUGCCGGAGCCCUGUUUGUGCCGGGGGUCAGCAUAAGCAAUGCUUGGAGUUUGCUUUUUCAGAGGGAGCUUUCUGUCCUAGCAAUUUGUUUUGGCCUUGAACCCCUUCUCUGCUGCUGUAAGCUUAACAAGAUCCUUUGUCAUUCUCCAGGGAAGCUUUCAAACUCACCGCUGCGGGUUUGAAUCGGCUUUAAAUAAAAGGUGUUCUGUUUCUGAAGUGCCCUGCCCGUGGGCUCUGGAGCACUCUGUGUGCAAUCCAAACAGCCAGCACACAAAGCCGUUACAGGUGAAGUGCCCAAGCACGAUGACGUGGCAGAGAGCUCCAGGAAAGUGUUUGCAAUUGAGUCCUGAAGGAAGAAGGCUUUGUCUGAAAACCCAGCACCAGCAGGUGAUGGCUGCGUGUCAAGAUUAGGGCUGCGCCUCUCUUCCUGCAGCACAAGGACGCCCUCGUGUUCACCACCCUGCUUGGCCGAGGGGGAUGCGAAAUGGGAGAAGCAGAGGGCGCAGCCACGAUGUCUGUCCGUCUGUCAGCUCCCUUCAGAAAGGUCCUGCUGGCUCCUGACUUGCCUCUGCUGAGGUCCUGCUGGUCUGUGCCAGAUUCAGAGGUCCUGAGGAGAAGGGAAGACACGAGUUCAGCGUGGUGGGAAACAGAUUGAAGCACUCCUAACUUAAAAACUUUGCAAAUGCCGGCUGUGAGCGCUGCUUGUUUCCUCCUCAAGUGCGUGCAGAAAUGAGGCACGUCGUGGCAGACGUCUACAUGCUCAGGUUCAAGUAGCAGGCACGAGUGCCGCCGGGGGACAUCUCCGCAGCCGCCGCGUGCUCUGCGCGCUCCUGGAGGUGCGGAUCACAGCGGGCAGCUUGCGGAGCUGUGACAGGCUGCCCCGGCUCUCCGAGCAGAGCCUGUCUCCUCGAGCUCUGCCUCCGUUGCCUGCACAAGCUAAUUUCUAUCUGGUGGCAAUGCUGAGCUGUUCGAAAUCACCCAGCCGUUGGAGCUGCAGCCUUGCCCGUGGCUUCCUUCCGAGAAAGAGCUUGCUUUUUACUUAAAGCUUGUGGGGGGGGAGCAAGCUGAUUGCUAACAACUGCAACUGCUGCGUUAGCUCUUGCUAAAGGACAGAAGCAGUGGGAUGUGGCUGCUCCCGUUGGCAAACGGCCCUCAGCUCUGCCACCAUCUCCAGGCAGAAGGGGACUAGCAGGGGCCCGGAGACGGGGGGCUGCUCCCUGCCUUCUGCAGGCAGCAGUGGGAGCAGAAAGCUGCAUGGCAGCUCCCUUUAGAGAGCACGAGGCUUUGGGGGAGAAAGUGACUUUUAUAGAAAUAAAGGAGACUUCCUUUUGGGUCAAGCGCUCUGGAAAUGAAUGGUUUUGAGAUAAAAGCCUUUUUACUCAGGUAACGCAGAUUCACAUUGCCUAAAGGGAAGUCUGCCUUGUGCUGGGGUAUUUUUCCCCUCUGGAGGCAUUGUGAUUGCUUUUGAAGAUGGGUUUUCAGCGUACAAAAGAGAAGAAAGCCGAGAGGAAAAAAGCUUUUAAAAAUACCAGGGGUGCCAGUGGUCUGUCUCAGUUUGUCAGCGUGUCUCUCUUGCUCGUCACGCCACUGUUGGGUGCAGGGAUUGUUCCUCCUCUUCCCUUCGUGACUUGCUCCUUCCCUCUGGCAUCUUGAUCAGUCAAGUCUGGGUUUCUUUUUCCCUUUCCAGGCCAACCUCUUGCAUGCAGGGCCGCUCUGCAGGCAGGUGCUGUGCUGCGUUGGGUGGGGAUUGCCCCAGUGACCUCAGCCUGCUGUGCUGGAGCCGUACCCAGGGCCCGCCGGAUGCAGGGGAACACGUGGGUGAAGCACCUUUCUGAAAGAAGUAUGAAAUGGACUCUUUUCCCAUCAGUUUGAUCUGAGGAAUCUCUUGAAAACGUGCCUUACCCCAAGGACUCGGGGUCCACAAGGGCGUUCUAGCUUUGCUAAGACUUCUGGAAGCAUCAGGUUCUCACUUCUCCUUCUGCUUGUUUCUCCUGCCUUGCCCUGGAGGGAUGAGACAUCUGCAGGGCUCUCCUCUGCUGCUGCUUAGUGUGAAAUGUUGUAAAACCCAGGCAUUGAUUUCUCAAUCAAAGGUGCCUGUUUGCUCCUCGCUCUGUGGCUUUAAUGCCUGCAAAUUCAUCUUUCGCUCCCACGCGGUUUGCUUUAAGAUUCUGAAAUUGGCUGUUGCGCUUCAGAGAUUUGGGAAGUGAACAGGUUCAAUCAAGCCAAUAUUAUUUGUGCUGGCUCUCAGAGUAGGGGGUUGAGCCAAGCAGAAGCCCAGGUCAUGGUGUCUCUCAGGGCUCAGGGGAGACCUGUGCCUGUGUCUGGCCGUGGUGUGGGGCUCCAUUGCCUUGCUGGCUCCUGGAAAAAGCUGUGGGUCCUCUUGUCCUGAUGGUGAACCUGGGUCCGUGGGUCUGUGAAGGCUGAGGUUGCAGCCUGACCUAUGAACAGGCUCCAGAAAAACCUGAAGACCUUAAAAUAAACAAAACCCCACCACGUUUCCACCUGCGCGUCUCAUAUUUUCGUAGGAGUCAACUUUGUUCCCUGUUUUCAGAGCGCUGUAGCUUUGCUGUUCUUGAAGUGCUGUGUAGAUGACGCCAGCCUUGCUGAAAUGGAGCUGCUUCUGUGGAGGAAUGCAACAGCUGGAAGUCGAAAGGAUUCCUGCCUCCCGUGGUUGCUGCCCUGCAGUGAUGACUGGUGUGCCCUAAGCUGGGAGACUGUGGUCCUCUGCAUGCCACGUCGUCUGGGCUCCAACUGCUGCCGCUGGUCAACCUCAGUGUUCCCAUCGCUUAAAGGAGUGACGUGGAAAACCCUUCCCAAAGAGCAGAGAUGGAGCAGAGCAAAGCAAAGGAGGAGGGAGGACGGAAUGCAGGUAUCUACAGAAAUCCUGCGUUUCCAGCCAAGGACGUGCUGGAUUUACAGUUGCCUACCACUGUUAAUGCAUUCUCGUCUGCAUGGUCGUGUGAAGGUUGCUUUCCCGUUGACCAGAGGGAGACCAGACCCACGGCUCGGCCACUCACCCUUCUUAGAGCUGCUGAAGACACUCAAAAUGGGACGAUGGCCCCGUGCUGCUCUUUCCUGGAGCCUCCUCUUCCUCCUAAGGUUUCCCGAUCUCUGUUUCACCCGAAGGGGCUUCCUCGUCUCCACUGCAGCAGGAUGCAGAGCCUGAACUAACUCUGAGCAAGGAGAUGUGGAGUCCAGAAACAGCAGACCUGCUUUAAAUGAGGCUCUUGCCCUGGGUGAUCAUCCCACCUUGAGAAGCACAGCGUACUAUCUCUGGCUUCUUCCCAAGAUGUACGUUACCCACCUCUCUCACCCUAAAAGCGAUCCAGCCUGGGAGGAAGCUGCAGAAACUCGGCCUCUACAGGCAAGUUGUAGGGCAGGAAGCAGCGAGUGAGGCUCCCACCCGGCUGCCCGUGUGCUUUUCCUGCCCAAAGUUCCCUUCUUUCUGCUCGCAGCUCUGUGCUGCAGUGGGGUGGCUGGGAAGGCUGCGUCACAGCUGACUCACGCUGCUGGUAUGGUAGGAGCCCCACGCACUGCUUCCCCCCCAGCUCCCCACUGGCACCUGUUUGCUCUCUGUCUUUGCAGUUCAGCAGUCCCUGAGAUGAACCUGAGGUUGCCACAUGCAGGGGCAGCGAGGCUGUGCCUCAUCCCAGCCUUCCCAGCUGCAGCUCGCUGCUCUCCCUCUGUCACAUGAGCAUUGCACCAUCUCCCCCUUGGAGAAUGAGAGUGGAACCUGCCUGGUUGCCGGAGCGAAGUGAAAUCUGCUCCAGCUUCAAAUGCACGCAAUCCCAAGCCCUGCACUUUGGUGAUGUACCCAAGACGGGCUCCACACCGGUUCCUGUCUCAAUCCAGCACGCUGCCUGCCCUCAGUGCUUUCCCCUGGAGCAUCCUCGAGCCUGUCCAGAAAAACACUCACCAGGCUGGGAAGCCUUGAAAACCUGGGGUCGGACUGGGAAAACUCAGAGGGUCAGAGAGAAGAGCCCGCAUUGAGAACAGUGCUGCUGCCCUCACUUCUGUUUCUGGUGGGGGCACCCAAAAGCAGGAAUUGCUCCUGGUCUCUCUGCUUCUUGGCGCCUGGAAAUAAAUCAGUGCUUGCUGGACGAUGAAGGGCAAACAAGCCAAGGAUGAAAAAUCAGAGCAAUGGCCAAGGAGAUGACAUCCACUUGACUUCUCUUGCCCGCGGUGUGAGCAAUUAAUCUAGCUAAGGCACUGCAGUGGAGUGAGACCGAGAGCAGGAGGACGGAGCUGCACCAGCAGCUGCAAGGACCAGGCGUCUUCCUCCGCCUUGCUGCCCUGACCUUUGCGGUGAGGUUGUGCACAGAGAAAUGUGCUGAACCACCCCGUUGCCAUGGAAACCAAGGCCGAGAGGGGACCAGCCUGCUCCUGCUAAUUGCUGUGGCUUCAUGACCCCAUCCAUCCAUCCUGCUGCCUCCCGAAACCUGCUUGGCUGGGAGAUGCGCGGAGGUGGAUAUGGGGAGGUUUUGUGCAAAACCAGGCUGCUGAAGAGCCUCCACCCAUGGGGAGCAAUGCAGGAACAGAGAUACGGAUGGAGAUGCCCUCAAAGUCACAGGAUGGUGCAGUGCCACUGUCCUGGCCAUGGGGCCACAGGGACAGGCUCACUUCUGCUUCAUUGGGUUUUAGGGGACCACAAGAACCAAUGGGCAUGGAACAGCAGCGGGCGCUCAGCAUCCACCGGGUUCUGCAAUGUGUAAAGCACGAGGCAAGCGAUCCAAAACCAAGGAAAAAUACGACAUCCAUAGAAAAAUAUUUGUCCAGCUCCAGGACAAACCCAGCUUUAUUCACUCUGGAAGGGAGAAGAGAUUAAAAUGUAAUCCUGGGUAAA